Molecule: long non-coding RNA, 298 nt
Filed under: Helianthus annuus (common sunflower)
Lineage: Eukaryota; Viridiplantae; Streptophyta; Magnoliopsida; Asterales; Asteraceae
Description: Microsporidia small subunit ribosomal RNA
Rfam family: Bacterial small subunit ribosomal RNA
Source: RNAcentral
UGCUCUCUUUCUUCUUCUAGAUUUGAAAACCCUAAACAACACCACAGCUUCUUCCCUCCCAACAUUGUUCUCUGUAGGGGCAGAGGGAAUUUCCGGUGGAGCGGUGAAAUGCGCAGAGAUCGGAAAGAACACCAACGGCGAAAGCACUCUGCUGGGCCGACAGUGACACUGAGAGACGAAAGCUAGGGGAGCGAAUGGGAUUAGAUACCCCAGUAGUCCUAGCCGUAAACGAUGGAUACUAGGCGCUGUGCGUAUCGACCCGUGCAGUGCUGUAGCUAACGCGUUAAGUAAAUUUUUU